RNAcentral lists this ribosomal RNA (468 nucleotides) under uncultured bacterium. Its description in RNAcentral is "partial 16S ribosomal RNA". It matches the Rfam family "Bacterial small subunit ribosomal RNA", at positions 28 to 507 of the family's 1533-position model. The record is from RNAcentral.
GACGAACGCUGGCGGCGUGCUUAACACAUGCAAGUCGAACGGAAAGGCCCUGCUUUUGUGGGGUGCUCGAGUGGCGAACGGGUGAGUAACACGUGAGUAACCUGCCCUUGACUUUGGGAUAACUUCAGGAAACUGGGGCUAAUACCGGAUAGGAGCUCCUGCUGCAUGGUGGGGGUUGGAAAGUUUCGGCGGUUGGGGAUGGACUCGCGGCUUAUCAGCUUGUUGGUGGGGUAGUGGCUUACCAAGGCUUUGACGGGUAGCCGGCCUGAGAGGGUGACCGGGGACAUGGGGACUGAGGGAGGGCGCAGAGGGGUACGGGAGGCAGCGGGGGGGAAUAUGGCACAAUGGGCGGAAGCCUGAGGCAGCAGCGCCGCGGGCGGGAUGACGGCCUUCGGGUUGUAAACCGCUUUCGCCUGUGACGAAGCGUGAGUGACGGUAAUGGGUAAAGAAGCACCGGCUAACUACGUG